This 433-nucleotide ribosomal RNA is filed under the name uncultured bacterium. Its description in RNAcentral is "partial 16S ribosomal RNA". It matches the Rfam family "Bacterial small subunit ribosomal RNA", at positions 29 to 507 of the family's 1533-position model. The record is from RNAcentral.
AACGAACGCUGGCGGCAUGCCUAACACAUGCAAGUCGAACGAGACCUUCGGGUCUAGUGGCGCACGGGUGCGUAACGCGUGGGAAUCUGCCCUUGGGUUCGGAAUAACAGUUGGAAACGACUGCUAAUACCGGAUGAUGACGUAAGUCCAAAGAUUUAUCGCCCAAGGAUGAGCCCGCGUAGGAUUAGCUAGUUGGUGAGGUAAAGGCUCACCAAGGCGAGGCUCCUUAGCUGGUCUGAGAGGAUGAUCAGCCACACUGGGACUGAGACGCGGCCCAGGCUGCUACGGGAGGCAGCAGUGGGGAAUAUUGGACCAGGGGCGAAAGGCUGAGCAUGCAGGGCCGCGUGAGUGAUGAAGGCCUUGGCGGUGUAAAGGUCGUUUACCCGGGAUGAUAAUGACAGUACCGGGAGAAGAAGCUCCGGCUAACUCCGUG